AUUGAACGCUGGCGGCAGGCCUAACACAUGCAAGUCGAACGGUAACAGGAAACAGCUUGCUGUUUCGCUGACGAGUGGCGGACGGGUGAGUAGUGUCUGGGAAACUGCCUGAUGGAGGGGGAUAACUACUGGAAACGGUAGCUAAUACCGCAUAACGUCGCAAGACCAAAGAGGGGGACCUUCGGGCCUCUUGCCAUCGGAUGUGCCCAGAUGGGAUUAGCUAGUAGGUGGGGUAACGGCUCACCUAGGCGACGAUCCCUAGCUGGUCUGAGAGGAUGACCAGCCACACUGGAACUGAGACACGGUCCAGACUCCUACGGGAGGCAGCAGUGGGGAAUAUUGCACAAUGGGCGCAAGCCUGAUGCAGCCAUGCCGCGUGUAUGAAGAAGGCCUUCGGGUUGUAAAGUACUUUCAGCGGGGAGGAAGGGAGUAAAGUUAAUACCUUUGCUCAUUGACGUUACCCGCAGAAGAAGCACCGGCUAACUCCGUG
Molecule: ribosomal RNA, 490 nt
Filed under: uncultured bacterium
Lineage: Bacteria
Description: partial 16S ribosomal RNA
Rfam family: Bacterial small subunit ribosomal RNA
Source: RNAcentral